GCCUAUGGCCAUGCCACCCUGAACACGCCCUAUCUCGUCUGAUCUCAGAAGCUAAGCAGAGCUGGGCCCGGUUAGUACUUGGAUGGAGGAGCCAGGUGCUGUAGGCA
RNAcentral lists this ribosomal RNA (107 nucleotides) under Pteropus alecto (black flying fox). Lineage: Eukaryota; Metazoa; Chordata; Mammalia; Chiroptera; Pteropodidae. The record is from RNAcentral.